Molecule: small nuclear RNA, 193 nt
Organism: Lemur catta (Ring-tailed lemur)
Lineage: Eukaryota; Metazoa; Chordata; Mammalia; Primates; Lemuridae
Product: U2 spliceosomal RNA
Exons: 1
Source: RefSeq, a predicted model, not a curated record
CUCACAUCCCAGCCUUUUGGCUAAAAUCAAGUAUAAUAUCUGAUCUUGUCAGUUUUAAUAUCUUGUAUGUCCUUUAUCUUAGGAUGCCAUAUUAAAAGGGAGUUUUAGAAGGAGGGGACAGAAUAGGGGCUUACUCCAUCCACAUCACACAUUGAUCUCAUACUGUAGUAUUUUCAGAAAUCAUGUUCUCCUA